GCGCUGAAAGUGAAGCCGAGCGGAUGAAGAAAUCCCAGUCUGACCGCUGCUGAUCAACACUGUCCCUGCUCCACUCCACCUGCUGCUGCUGCUGUUGGACAACGAGGACACAGCGACCCCUACAGGUAUAUCACACCCUACACCAGGAAAGCGCAUGUGCGUCUGGCCCGCGCGCGCGUGUGUGUGUGGUGGUAUUUAUCACUUUGUGGGGAAAAAAGUGUGUUUUUUUCCCCACAAGGUGAAACUGGAGUGUCUUUUUUUUCAUGAAUGCAGGAGCUCCUCUGAUGUUGCCUGUGUGAUAUUUCGAGUUGGCCCAAAAAGCAAGUUUAUCCAUCAGAGUGUGUGUGUGUGUGUGUGUGUGUGUGUGUGUGUGUGUGUGUGUGUGUGUGUGUGUGUGUGUGUGUGUGUGUGUGUGUGUUUGUGUGUGUGUGUGUGUGUGUGGUGUGCACAGUAGUCCCCCCUUCAGUUUUUGGCUGGUAAUGCACUUGUUGCUCCACACACACAGUUAUUGCAAAUAUGGAUAGGAACCACCUACUUCCCAGUCCACAGUCGGAACAAUUUUAUCACCAAUAUCAUUUUAAGUGUUUACUGUAAGUCAGUUCUAUGUGUACGAUCGCAUUACAACUUUGAAAAGGAAAGUGUAACUUAAAUAAUUUGAGAUAACCAUCCCUAAGGUUGGUCAGUUUUUGCUAACAUUCACAUGUGGAUCAUACUGUUCACACUGCUUUCUUGUGCAGUGUAUGUUCAGAGUUUCAGUGCCAACUAAAAUCAGUUUGCAAGGAGGCAUAAUUAAAGUUAUUUGCACUUCUUUUUUCUCUUUUCCCGGGGUAACUUUAGACUUCAUUGUUGGUGUGUUGGGUUUAUUUCUGGAGCUUUAUUCAUUAAAACUUGAAUAUCGCCAUUUCAAAGUCCAUUUGGUAGUUGCCCUAGGGGUAUUUUUGCUGAUUUAAUACAAGGUGUCAGGAGGUUGAGGAGCUAGGGCCAAAGCUGGAUGAUUGUGGUUAAAAUAUAUUAAAAUUAUUCAAUAGCUUAUUUUUUUUACGUGUUACAAAGACCUUACCUUGAGACGGGACAGAUUUGACGCAUUUUAUCGAACAUGAGUGACGAACUUUGCAGUAUUUAACAAGUUACAGUGGAGAAGAAGAACUUCCUUUAACAGGCAGAAACCUUGAGCAGGACAGGACCCAUGUCUCAUUUUUUAAGACUUUUAAACUUCAGUCCUGUUUCAGCUUUUAUCUCAAACUGUAUUAGACUUUCAUCUUUGUUUAUAGACUUUAAUCUCCUAAUAAAAAAUGACCGUAAUGUUAUUAUAAAAAGAAUGUCAUGUGGUAAUAAAUGACUAAUUAAUUCAUGCAGUAAAAGGACUUUAUCCUUGUUUUAUAAUGACCUGUUAAGUCAUUAUUUCAAAUCUAAUCCUGUUAUAUACUGACUUAAAACUCAAAAGGUAUUUUCACUUAAGUCUUGUCAUACAAUGACUUAUGACUCCUAAUAUAUAAUGACUUCAAACUUGUCAAACCAUGAUUUUAACUCAUAAGAUUCAAUGAUUUGUAUCUUGUUAGAAAUGACUUUUAACCUCUAACUUAAAAAUGACUUUAAAACUGCUAUAGAAAUGCUUUCAUCUUUAUAUAUUAAAUUACUUUUAACUUGUUAUGUGAUGACUUAUCCACAAGAUAAAUACUAACUUCAAUUUGACUUUUUCCUUUAAAAGAAAAAGGACAUUAAUCUUGUUUUAUAACAACAUUUAUCUGGUGAUAUACACUUAAUUUUAAUCUUGUUAUGUGAUGACUCUUCCGUCACAAGAUCAAGCUUGAAACUUGUAAUAUUUUGACUUUAACUCAUUGGGCUCUAUUUUCGUGCUUUGCCGGCGACGUGGCGCAGGCACAGCAUAAGUCAGGCUCGCUGUACCGACAAGGUGUUGCCAAGCCCAAUUUGGUAUUUUGGUAAGCGGCCCAGCCCGGCGUAAGUAUCCCCCUCCCUAACUCAGCUCCUCCCAGCGGCGUAAAUCGUAGGGAGGGAGGAGAGAGGGCGUGGAGUGGGUUUAACACAGCCGAGACCUGUAUUGACCAAUAACAUAAGCUCCUCUCCUCGCCUUUAAAUCCACCACCGGACAAUUUACAAUUUACAAUUACAAUUUUCGUGAAAUAGUCAGAGAUCAAGAGAUGUCUGAAGACAGCGAUGCCACACGAUGGCGACAGAAGGCAGCCGCUCAACAAGUGUCGCUGUAAGCGCUGCAUUGGGCGUCCUCCACACUCUCUCAUAUAAGCACAGAUGGAUUUGGUGUGUGUAAUGUUGGACCCACCGGUAAGACAAACACCCUUCUCCACAAAUAAAGACACUCACAUCAAGUUGCACAUAUUUAAACCUCACGCAACAAAGGUGGAUUGUGCGCAGCGAUCACAUCAUAAAUUCCAAAAAUGGCAUUAAAAUCGGAACCAUCUGUGGCCUCAUGCUCAUGCACGCAUCAUGCUCCGUGGCCUGGCUCUUUCUUUCAUAGAUGUUGGCAUAUAAAAUAAAUUUGGCUCACAAAACUGAAUAUUAUAAUAUUCGUAUGUAGGCUUCAAGUAAAUAACUCAUCUGAGCACUGAAACAAAUCAUCUGUUCAGCCUGUGCAGCUGCAGCAGGACGGGGAGAGGACACGGAGACGUGUUCAGGUCGAGCUGCACAAGAAAUAAGAGGAAGAGGAAGAAAGAAAAGGAGGGAGACAAAUUAAAUAUCUUGUUCACUUCAUCAUGUGUGUUUAUUAACUAGAUAUUUAAUUUAAUAUAGUGCAGUUUCAGCUGUGGUAAUUCGGUCAGGUUGUGUGUCCAAACGCAUGCCAAAUGCGCUCAUCAGAUCAGAUAUAGAUCAGAAUAUAUCUAUAUAGAUCUAAAUGUAUGUGCUGACUCAGAUUAUUAGUUGUUGUUGAUUAUUUAUUGCACUGAAAUGUGCCUGACACUGUGGAAACCUGCCGGUGAGGCAUCAGUGACGUAUGCCGAUACCCCGCCUGUCUACCAAAAUACCACUAGACCAGCUGCGCUCCGCCUGCACUGAAAGUUGACCAGGUUUGAAUCAGCAAGCUUUCAGCGCACUUUACACGCCGGCGGCGAGCACGAAAAUGUCACUGCACCAGCUGAUUCUGUCGACACCUCCCCCUGCCAUGCCACCACACCCAGCUUGGCAGACCUCGGUGCACCUCAGUCCAUGAAAAUACCAAACUGGCUGUACGCCGGGCUCCACCAGACGAAAAUACCACUGUGCGGGGUCCGCCACCCUUCACCGCAUCCCCGGCGGACACGAAAAUAGAGCCUUUUAUGACUUUUAUCUUGUCCUAAAAUGAAAAUAGAUAAUGAAUUUGAUCUUGAAAUAAUCUGUAGACUUUUAUUCACAGAAUCUUUUUUACCUGCAUGUGGCCCUAAUACUUGUUAGCAGAUAAAGAUAGAAAAUACAUGUUGUUUGUUUUUUUCCUUUAGGGUGCUCAUUUCUAAAUAAAUUAUUUUUUUCACUAUCAAGCACCAAAAUGAUCAUCAAUAUUUCAAUCUGUUUUUUAUUUAUCUCUGAAAAGAAUCCUUGACACAGUUCUUACAUUGUGUUGCCUUUGACGCCCCUGUGGACACUUUUGGUAUGAGUUGUGUCUUAAAGAUUUUGAUUUUAGCAAAAUCAUAGGCAGGAGAACUUUUUUUUUUACUGCUUUAGUGUAUGAAAUUGGAAAUUCAAAAGACUCAUGUUUCAAUAUUUAAAUUCCAUCAUUUUGCAUUUCUUAAUAGUUUUAUAUCUAUAUUGAUUACAGUUUGAAGAACAGGCAAAAAUACAAGAGCACCCCAAUUCACAGGUGAAAGAAGGAAGAUGGUGAACAGGAAUUUUUCGACCAUGCUCAUGCAGUCAGUUUAAAAAAAAAAAAAAAAAUUACAAUAAAACAAAUAAAACCUUUAAACCAAACCAUAAGAAAAUAGAUUCUCUAACACAGAGAACAGAAAAAAAGGAAAUGGACUGCCACCCUUGAAAGUUGUCCAUAUUUUCUAAUUCACAUGAUAAUUCUACAAAAAAAAAAAUUGUACACCUGUCAUUGCUAUCAGAUUAAACUUAUCCAAAUUUUGGCUUGGUGCAUUUAAAGCCAAUUUUACACUAAAAAAAAGAGAAAACCUUUUUCUUUGCAUACCUUUAGUGAAUUUGGUGAAUUUCCCUUCAUCUUUAUUGACCACAAAAAAUCCAGCUCUAAUUUUCCACUUGUAAUAUUUUUUAUACUAUCUCCAUUAACAUUUAGUUCCCUAAAGAUAAUUUUUACAAAAAAUUAAGACAAGAGCACACCUACUUCUUGUUUCUGCAAUGUUCCCCUUACAAUGACAUAUACGUCACAUCAGAUUUAUCAUACAUAGCAAACACUGAAAUAAAACAAACUGUUAUUGUGUCUUAUUUCUAACAGAAAUGUCUAAUUAGACAAAAAAAAAGACAAAGUUAUAUCACAAGUCCAGAAUGGUGUCUUGCUUUGAGAUAUUUUAAUCCUAAAAGAUGACUUAUUUGUGGUAAUAAAAAAUGUAAAACUUCCAAUGGAUUAAUAAAAACAAUACUUGUAAUGUUCUGGAAAAAAAAUCAUUUGAAUUUCAAAAAGACAAAACAACAAACAUUUGCUAGGAUUUUUUUUUACAGUGUAACAAGCCUCUCAGCACAGCCAGAUAUUAUUUUAUUUUACAGGGAUGAUUUACAAAAAACAAUCCUGAUUUAACAUGUUGCAAAAUUUAAUCCAAUGUAAUCUAAUCUAAUCUAAUUUAUAAAGCACAUUAAAACCAGGAGCUCUGUACAACAGAACAACAUAAAACAAGAAAUAAUCCCAAAUAUUCAGUAUCUCCACUCUGAAGAAAUGAAGAGUUUAAAUCUCUACACAUUUCCACUGUUGGUCAAAUGGCAAUAAUGAAUUUGGGAUAAUCUGAUUUUGUUAGAUUUGGGGGGCUAUUCUUCCCCACCCCCCACCACUACCACCAUCACCACCCCCAUAGGUUGAAAUUAAAUGUUUAGUACUUGAAGACAAAUAUGAAUAAAGUUCUUUUAACUUUGACUGGAGUAGAUACUCAGACCGGUAGUUUGACUUCUACUUCAGUCAAAUGUCAUUAGAGUAAGUCGACUUUGACUUAAGGAGAAUAUUUUAGUCUCUUUCCACCCCUGCAUGUCACUAGUCUCUGAUCUGAAUAAACUCAAGUGUUUAUUCUGGUUCAAUAAACUCAGCAGAACUACAAAGAAAAGGGUAAAGUCCAGCAUGUAGCGGCUGAGUGAAUGUGGUCUGGACUCUGUGGAGGAGAGUCAUGGUUUCAGAGACGCUGUAGAAGGACAGAAUACCUGCUUUGUGAUCCAGGUACACUCCUACUCUGGAAGACUGAGGACCUGAGACACGAGUGAUGACUUUGUUGUGCACAAAUGUAUAACCGUCCUCAUCACAGACUAACCUCCAAGAUUUGUCAUUGAAUCCAAAUUUACAAUCAUCUGAUUUCCCUGCUCUGCUGAUAGUCUUGUAUGCGACUGCCACAUAAACCCCUGCCCCUCUCAGCUCCACCUCCCAGUAACAACGCCCAGUCAGACUCUCUCUACUCAGGACCUGAGGUAAAUGAUCAGUGAACCUGUCUGGGUGAGCAGGAUAAGACUGUCGUUGUUUUUUAAAUGUUGCUCUUCUGUUUCCAUCAGAUAAUAACAGCCACCUGUUUGCUGUGUUUGGAUCCAGUGUGAUUCUUUGUGAAUAUCUUAAGAAAUCAGCUCUGGUCUUGGGUUCUGGUUCUGGUUCUGGUGGUUUUGACAGCAAAACAUCCACUUCAGUCACUACCUGUGAGAUGUUUGUCCACGUCUCUGUCAGAAGAUCCUGGAGUAUAUCUCUGAGCUCUGACACAGCUGCUGUCACCUCCUCAAAGUAUCUCUGAGGACGGAUGUUGAUCCUGGAUGAGUCUGCAGGUUGACCCGGUCCUGACAGUGAGGGGUAGCUGUGCAGAAACUGGUUGUGGUCCUCUGUGAGUGAGAGCUUCUGCAGAUCAGCGUCUUUCCUCUUCAGCUCAGUGACCUCCUGUUCCAGCUUUUCCUGAAGCUCUUUGACCUGACUCACUUCACGUUCCUGCUGGGAUCUGACAUGCUGCCUUACGUCAGAGCAGCGCUUCACCAUGAGACGGAUCAGCUGGCUGAAGAUCUCCUGGCUGUGCGCCACAGCUUUAUCAGCAGAGCCGUUGAUAGCCUCCACCUCCUGUUGGAGCAGCUUCACAUCUUCCUCUCUGUCCUGGAUUCUCUUCUGGAUGUUUCCUCGACUCUCCUCCAGAUCUUUCUGCCUCUCAGUCCUUUCUGCUUCAGCUGAGACUGUGUUGUGGCCUUUGUGUUGGUCCAAACAGCAGAGAUGACAGAUAGACUGCUGCUCAGUGAGGCAGAAGAUCUUCAUCACCUCACCAUGACGAGAGCAGAUGUUCUCCUGGAGCUUCUUGGAAGGCGCCACCAGCUUGUGUUUCUUAAAUGUAAGUGAUUCAAAAUGAGGCUGGAGGUGAAUCUGGCAAUAAGAAGCCAGACAUUGAAGACAGGACAUGACAGCUUUCAGUUUUCUCCCACUGCAGAAAUCACAGGCCACAUCUUCAGGUCCAGAGGGAUCAUCAAGAGCAGCUUGGUGUCCGCUCUUCUUCAGUUCCUCUACUAAACCUGCUAACAUCGUGUUUUUCUUCAGGACGGGCCUCUGUCUGAAGGUCUCUCGGCACUGAGGACAGCUGUAGAUCCUCUUCUCAUCCUCAGUAUCCCAGUGGGUUUGAAUACAGCUCAUGCAGAAGCUGUGUCCACAGG
Xyrichtys novacula (pearly razorfish) is the source of this 6771-nucleotide non-coding RNA. NCBI's taxonomy places the organism in Eukaryota, Metazoa, Chordata, Actinopteri, Labriformes, Labridae. The record is from the annotation of a GenBank genome assembly.